Molecule: transfer RNA, 73 nt
Filed under: Methanogenium sp.
Lineage: Archaea; Methanobacteriati; Methanobacteriota; Methanomicrobia; Methanomicrobiales; Methanomicrobiaceae
Also listed under: 1 other name
Description: tRNA-Ile
Rfam family: tRNA
About the family: Transfer RNA (tRNA) molecules are approximately 80 nucleotides in length. Their secondary structure includes four short double-helical elements and three loops (D, anti-codon, and T loops).
Source: RNAcentral
GGGCCUGUAGCUUAGUUGGUGGAGCGUCCGGCUCAUAACCGGACGGUCAUGCGUUCGAAUCGCAUCAGGCCCA